GAUUUCUGGUACAACGUACUUGGCCCGCCUCGGUUACGGGGUUGUGUGCCGGCGUGCGUUUGCCAUCCUUCCGGCCCUCACUGCUGCUUCCCUUCACUGGGCUCGUAGUAGCGAACCGGAUCAUUUACUUUGAAAAAAUUAGAGUGUUUAAAGCAGGCUUUUGCUAUGAAUACAUUAGCAUGGAAUAAUAAUCUAGGACUUCGGUUCUAUUUUGUUGGUUUCUAUAACUGAAGUAAUGAUUGAUAGGGAUAGUUGGGGGUGCUAGUAUUGGCCGGCCAGAGGUGAAAUUCUUGGAUUCGGUCAAGACUAACUUAUGCGAAAGCAUU
RNAcentral lists this ribosomal RNA (326 nucleotides) under Protaspa sp. Its description in RNAcentral is "SSU rRNA". The stretch from base 109 to 326 matches the Rfam family "Eukaryotic small subunit ribosomal RNA", at positions 736 to 955 of the family's 1831-position model. Lineage: Eukaryota; Cercozoa; Thecofilosea; Cryomonadida; Protaspidae. The record is from RNAcentral.